Molecule: ribosomal RNA, 481 nt
Filed under: uncultured bacterium
Lineage: Bacteria
Description: partial 16S ribosomal RNA
Rfam family: Bacterial small subunit ribosomal RNA
Source: RNAcentral
GAUGAACGCUGGCGGCGUGCUUAACACAUGCAAGUCGAACGAAGCAUUUAAGACAGAUUCCUUCGGUUUGAAGUCUUUUAUGACUGAGUGGCGGACGGGUGAGUAACGCGUGGGUAACCUGCCUCAUACAGGGGGAUAGCAGCUGGAAACGGCUGGUAAUACCGCAUAAGCGCACAGUACCACAUGGUACAGUGUGAAAAACUCCGGUGGUAUGAGAUGGACCCGCGUCUGAUUAGCUAGUUGGCGGGGUAACGGCCCACCAAGGCGACGAUCAGUAGCCGACCUGAGAGGGUGACCGGCCACAUUGGGACUGAGACACGGCCCAGACUCCUACGGGAGGCAGCAGUGGGGAAUAUUGCACAAUGGAGGAAACUCUGAUGCAGCGACGCCGCGUGAGUGAAGAAGUAGUUCGCUAUGUAAAGCUCUAUCAGCAGGGAAGAUAGUGACGGUACCUGACGAAGAAGCUCCGGCUAAAUACGUG